Long non-coding RNA from Acromyrmex echinatior (Panamanian leafcutter ant), 163 nucleotides. NCBI's taxonomy places the organism in Eukaryota, Metazoa, Arthropoda, Insecta, Hymenoptera, Formicidae. The record is from RefSeq and is a predicted model, not a curated record.
ACGCUGGCCACAUCCUACACAUGAGCAUAGAAUUUGGAGCAAUGUUUUCAUUUUUCUAGGGAGUGAUGUGCUCUGUUGAGUCGGAAAGCCAAUUUGCUGAUUAGCCCAUAUGUCUCUUCUGAUGGGCCAUGUUCCACGAUACAAAGACGGUAGCCUGUGGCUA